UACGUAGGUGGCAAGCGUUGUCCGGAUUUACUGGGCGUAAAGCGUAUGCAGGCGGGCCCUUAAGUAGGAAGUGAAAGGUUGGAGCUCAACUCUAACACUGCUCCCUAUACUGAGGGUCUUGAGUGCCGGAGAGGAAGAGGGAACGACACGUGUAGCGGUGAAAUGCGUUGAGAUGUGUCGGAACACCUAUGGCGAAAGCACUCUUCUGGACGGAAACUGACGCUGAGAUACGAAAGCCAAGGUAGCAAACAGG
RNAcentral lists this ribosomal RNA (253 nucleotides) under uncultured bacterium. Its description in RNAcentral is "partial 16S ribosomal RNA". It matches the Rfam family "Bacterial small subunit ribosomal RNA", at positions 524 to 776 of the family's 1533-position model. The record is from RNAcentral.